RNAcentral lists this long non-coding RNA (2330 nucleotides) under Medicago truncatula (barrel medic). RNAcentral describes it as "lncRNA gene10513". The record is from RNAcentral. Lineage: Eukaryota; Viridiplantae; Streptophyta; Magnoliopsida; Fabales; Fabaceae.
GUGGCUUAUAAAUUAAUCAUUCGAAGGUGCUUCAACGUUAAGGACAUGUGACACUCGAGCAUUCAGAAAGAUCUUUAAAUUGUAUACAAAGACUAAUUCCAAACAGGUAACCAGGACAAUGUCCUUUUUAUUAUAUUCUCAAUGCAUAUGAUGUAAUCAUCUAUUUCUUCCUCUGUUGGAGGGGUUCCAGAUAUGUCUGCAAUCUUAUAAAUAUCAAAAAUCAAAAUCAAAAUCUGAGAACCUAAGCAGCCACUAAUUUUAACCUAACUCAAGGAAAUAUCAGAAUUGCAACACCAACAGUAACACACUACGGUGUUCUCAAUUUUGAGCCCCCACCAAUGCCAUGUGCCCUACGAGGUCCAACACUCGGUUGCUGCAAUGGAUACAAUUCAAAAAUAAGCAAAAAGUUCAGCUUUGAAAAAUGUCCUAUGUGCAUGAGAUUUUAAAUUGCAGUCGUGGUUGCUCUGCGGACAUUUGUUUUACAGUAAAUUAAGGGAAAAUUUGGUCAUGUCGUAGCUGAGACUUCAAAAUCCACAAUAUUGAGGCCGCAUUUGCAGUUACGGACCACAAUUUAAAACCAUGAUGUGUGUGCAAUACUAUUCUAUGAAAAAAGUUUUAGAUGUAAUUACAAAUACACAUACCUGUAACCCCACUCAUUGUCAUACCACGAGACCAGCUUCACGAAGGACUUGCUAAGCCCAAUCCCUGCCUUAGCAUCGAAGAUACUCGACCUGUUCGAAAAAGCAUUUUAAAUCAAGGUGUUCAUUUGGAAAUCAAACAUAUCCCAACACAAUAUUACAAACUCAAACUAAUAGGAAACCAAGAUAAAUAAAGGUCUUGUUUUAUGGCACAUCAGAAUCUGUUUUAAACACAAGGCAGCUCAUGUUCUACGGUAUCUCACUUUCCAACGAAAGUAAUAUAACCCAAUUUAUUUGUAUCAUGAAAUGAAUCAAAUAUCACAUUUUAGCAUGUAUACUUGAUAAAAGCCAAGAGUCUGUCCUAUUAAAGAUGCUGAAGGUAAUUUAUAUUUGAAAUACAGCAACAUUUACUUUACCUUGAAUCACCAAUAAAGUCAUUAGAGACAACAUCCUCAUCUGUGUAUCCAAGAAUUCCCUUCAAUUGUCCCUCUGAAGCAAGCCUUCAUUUUUUUUCAGUCGCAAAAUAAUAGAAAACAACCAAAGGGUUAGUACAAAACAACUCAUCAAGAGAGAAUAUAAGCCAGAGCAGAAAAACAAGAGACGUACUUAAUUGCUGCUUUAACAUCUUCAUAGGAGGCAUUCUUUUGAAGGCGGCAGGUUAAGUCCACAACAGAAACAUUAGCAGUAGGUACGCGAAAUGCCAUUCCAGUGAGUUUUCCAUUUAGUUCAGGAAGGACUUUGCCAACAGCCUGGGAUUUCAUAAAAUACAAAACCAAUUUAAUAAAUGUAUAUGAUAAGCACAGAACCACUCAACAGUUGUCCGUCUCAUACCUUUGCAGCACCAGUUGAACUUGGAAUUAUAUUUUGAGCUGCUCCUCUUCCCCCUCUCCAAUCCUUCAUUGAAGGACCAUCUACAGUCUUUUGUGUUGCUGAGCAGAGACAAAGACAAUAAAUGUUAACAAUGACACUUGUAAACAUGUAAAGUAGUGAUUUAUCCAAAAGAGAAAAAAGAAAGCAAAGGCUUUAAGUGGCAAAUGUGCAAGAGACCUGUUGUUGCAUGCACGGUUGUCAUCAAACCUUCAACUAUACCAAACUCCUCAUGAACCACCUGACAAAUAAUAGUUGGGGAAAAAUUAGAUGCUUGUAUGCAAGUUUCUGACAUGGGAAGGAAAUAAAGUUCACUAAUAUCAAUAGUUCUAUUCCUUGUAUUGAAAGACAUAUUACUAAAAAACUUGAUGAUGAAUCAGUUUCUUGUGAAUUUCAUGAUCCUAUUGGUUUUUAUUUUUAAUAUUAUAUCACACCCUAUCCCCAAAAAAGAGUCAAUUCCAGGAUAUAUGCUCAAGGAAAGAAUAAUAGAUCAAGCGGUAUUGAAAUAAAAUAAGUUGAAGAACCGAGAAAAAUGUAUAUUUCAGGUCAUAUAAAUUCCCUAAAUAGAUUAUUUCAGACUUCCCCGUUAAGGAUACCCUAAAAGCACUAAGAAUUUUCUACCAUCAUUUUCCAUGUCCUUCAAGAGGAGGGAACUCAAUAAAGAUGGCAUUACGCAAUGCAAACAAACCUUGGCAAGAGGUGCAAGGCAAUUUGUUGUACAGCUUGCAUUAGAAACAAUGUCCAUGUUCGAGUUGUAUGUCUUCUCAUUCACUCCUACCACAAACAUAGGUGCAUCAGCAGAUGGAGCUGAUAUUAUGAUUUUCU